RNAcentral lists this ribosomal RNA (214 nucleotides) under Salmonella enterica. RNAcentral's name for it is "partial 23S ribosomal RNA". It matches the Rfam family "Bacterial large subunit ribosomal RNA", at positions 454 to 668 of the family's 2925-position model. Lineage: Bacteria; Pseudomonadati; Pseudomonadota; Gammaproteobacteria; Enterobacterales; Enterobacteriaceae. RNAcentral also lists the same sequence under 1 other name. The record is from RNAcentral.
CAUCCUCCAAGGCUAAAUACUCCUGACUGACCGAUAGUGAACCAGUACCGUGAGGGAAAGGCGAAAAGAACCCCGGCGAGGGGAGUGAAAAAGAACCUGAAACCGUGUACGUACAAGCAGUGGGAGCACAGGUUUACCUGUGUGACUGCGUACCUUUUGUAUAAUGGGUCAGCGACUUAUAUUCUGUAGCAAGGUUAACCGUAUAGGGGAGCCG